Molecule: ribosomal RNA, 3486 nt
Filed under: Triticum aestivum (bread wheat)
Lineage: Eukaryota; Viridiplantae; Streptophyta; Magnoliopsida; Poales; Poaceae
Description: partial small subunit ribosomal RNA
Source: RNAcentral
GUUCCGCUUGCUCCAAAGACCUCGUCAACCAUUCUGCUCUUCUGGCUACUGUUCUGCCCACAACUGGGGAGCCAGCCCCCUUCCACCCCUCCCACACCCCACACCCCACACCCGGCGGCCCGCGCGGCGACGGCGCCCCUCGCUCGCCGUGGACUGUCGGCGGCGACUACAAUUGGCCAUUCUAAUAAUAUUUGUGAAGGCCACCAGCAAAGACAUUAGCAAUUCUGAGAAAUAAUGGCAGAGAUUGUAAUUCUUCUAGCCAUUAAAAAGAUCGGAAUCGCCUUGGCAAGUAGAAGGGCAAACCAAGCCAAAGUUCAGUUUGGAAAGUACAAAGCACAACUACAAGAGCUACAUGGCAGUGUGGGUCGUGUUGCGAGGGAGCUUCGCAUAAUGCAUGAUGUGCUCUGUCACAUGGAUAUUCGAAACCGCAACAAUCAAGUAUAUGACGGCUGGUUGGAGGAGGUAUAGAAAGUAGCACAUGUGAUGGAGGACAUGGUGGAUGAGUACUUAUAUCUAGUUGGUCAGGAACAUGAUAUUGGGUCAUGUUUUUACCUGAAAAGGGGCUUCAGAAAAUCCAGAUCUCUGCUUUCUAUGAACCAGUUGGCUUUCAAGGUGAAGGAAAUAGAGAAAGACCUUAGUCACCUAUCAGAGACAAACAAACGUUGGGUUCCCAUGACAAUCAGUGGGGUCAGCGGGGCCACCAGCAGCUGUGAUUACAUUGUCAAGAGGGGCCAAGAUCUAGCAAACAUUUCACGUUCCCUUGAUGAAGAAGAUCUUGUGGGGGUGGCUGAAAACAGAGAAAAACUUGGGCAGUGGUUGGCAGAUGAUGAUUUGGAAUGCUCGGUCAUAGCACUUCUUGGAAUGGGAGGACUUGGUAAAACAACUUUAGCUGCAAAUGUCUACAGGAAUGAGAGAAAGAAAUUCCAAUGCCAUGCCUGGGUCUCCAUCUCUCAAUCUUAUUCUAGAGAAGAUGUCUUGAGGAAUAUAUGUAAGGAACUUUUCAAAGAUGAUGUCAGUGUUCUAUCUAAAUCUGCAGCUAUGGAUAUCACAUGCCUUGAAGAGACACUGAAGAGUUUUCUGGAGCAACGAAAGUACUUGAUCAUAUUGGACGAUGUUUGGACUCCAGAAACAUUUGAUGAUUUGUCUAGGAUGCUUAUUCAUAAUGAUAAGGGAAGUAGACUGAUAAUCACAACAAGGGAAGGCGAUGUUGCUGCACUUGCCUCUCCAGGACAUAUCUUAACACUAGAAGCUUUACGAGAAGAUAAGUCAUGGGAUCUCUUUUGCAAAAAAACAUUUGCAAAAGAAACAAAUCAUGAUUGUCAUGCGGAGUUAAAGCCUUUGUCCAGGGAAAUAGUUAGCAGGUGUAAAGGCUUGCCUCUUGCUAUUGUGUCAGUUGCUAGCCUCUUGCGUGUGCGUGAGAAAACUGUGGAAGAAUUAAAUAACCAACUGAUCUGGGAGAUAAUGAAUAAUUCGAGGCUCGACCACAUAAGGAAUGUUUUGCAUCUGAGCUUCAUCUACCUUCCAACACACUUGAAAAGUUGUUUUUUAUACUGCAGCUUAUUUCCAGAAGACUAUCUUCUCAAAAGGAAACAACUUGUAAGGUUAUGGAUAGCAGAGGGGUUCAUCGAGGGGAGGGGUGAAAGCACAUUAGAAGAAGUAGCAGAAGGCUAUCUGAAGGAGUUGGUUGAUAGAAACAUGCUACAACUUGUCAAGAUGAACUCAUUUGGUAGGAUAAAAGAAUUCAAAAUGCACGAUAUAUUACGUGAAUUGGCAGUUGAUUUGUGCCAGAAGAACUAUUUUGGUGUUUCACAAGAGGCUAAAUGUGAGGGGUCUCUUGAGAUGGAUGGACGCCGAUUGAUGCUUGACAAAAUAAACAAUGAUGUUCAACAGUCAUUUUCUGGUUUACACCAACUUCGAAGUGUAAUUACAUCAGGCGAUAGUAAGUCACCAUUCACUCUACUACCCCUGCUAUGCAAGGAGUCAAGAUAUAUGACAGUGCUAGAAUUAAGUGGUAUACCCAUCAAGAAGAUUCCAGAUGCUAUUGGAUAUCUCUUUAAUCUCCGCCAUUUGGGUUUGCGUAAUUCAAAGGUGAAAAUGCUCCCGAGGUCUGUUGAGAAGCUUUCAAAUUUGUUGACACUAGACCUUUGUAAAUCUGACAUACAUGAGUUGCCUAGUGGGAUUGUGAAACUUAAGAAGCUCAGGCACUUAUUUGUUGAGAAAAUAAUGGAUCCAGAUUGGAGAAAUAUCAAUCAUCUCGGUGGUAUGUGUAUCCCCAAUGGACUCAGAAAUCUAACAAACCUGCAAACGCUACAAGCAUUAGAAGUACAGGAUGAGUCCCUUAGACAUCUAGGGGAGCUGAGGCAACUGAAAAGCUUGAGGUUAUUGAAUGUGAAGGGAAUCUACUGCGAAUGCAUCAGUGAAUCUCUAGUUCAAAUGCGGCAUUUGUCCUUGCUAUCUGUGAAUGCAAGUGACGGGAACGAGGUUCUCUUGUUGAAUGUUCUCCUGCCAAGCCUGCAAAAGCUAAGAUUGAGAGGACGGCUACUGGAAGGUGCGUUGGAUGAGUCUCCUCUCUUCCAAGCUGUCGGAGGGCAGAAUUUGUAUGAAUUAGUUCUAUCUUGGUCACAGCUGACAAAAGACCCCUUGCCGUCCCUUUCUCGGUUGUCAAGCUUGACACGUCUACAUUUCACUAGAGCAUACACCGGAGAGCAUCUGUCAUUUCUCACGGAGUGGUUUCCCAAGCUAAAGGUUCUCUCUCUGACAGACCUGCCUAAUUUGAAGCGUCUAGAGAUACAGCAAGGUGCCAUGGGGUCCCUGGAACAUUUAUUCCUAAUCAGACUCAGCAGCAUGACCGAGGUCCCACCUGGCAUUGAGUUCGUCAUGCCCCUCGAGUAUCUAGGCUUCCACGAAAUCACCGGCGACUUCUUGUCUCUGCUGCGCCAUUGUUCUGCGAUUCGAGGGACGAGGUUGAGGUACUCUCUGCGAGAUUGAGCUGCCAUUGCUCUGGAAAUGUGUGGGUGUCACCGGCCGGAAGGGAGAUGCUUCCACUUUUGGGUUUCCUCUGUUUCUUCAACAUGGACUACUGCACUUUCUGCUGUUAGUUCCACUUCUACUUAUGGUGCUUCACUUCUGCUGCAACCGCCUGCAUUUGGUAAUGCUAGUGUUGAUCGUGUGCUCGGUUGUCAGGUGUGACAAUGUUGCCUGUUGUUUAAUUCAGGCUGUGAUUGUUAAGACUGCGAGUGAGUUGUGUUUCAUAUUCAGACUAGCGCAAUGCUUGCUGCCAGUCCCACAUCCUGCUGUUGUUCGUGUGCUUGUUGUCAAGUAUGAUAAUAUUGCUGUAAGUUAUUUUCCCUUCCAAAUAAGGCGACACUUACUGUAAGACUGAGAUUGAGUCUUCUUUCCAUAUUCAGACUAAUUGCAUUUUCACGAUACCAUCCCUGAAGUAUGUACUGCUAUUCGUGUGUGCUAUUUCAACUGCGGAUAUUAAAC